This 1435-nucleotide ribosomal RNA is filed under the name uncultured organism. Its description in RNAcentral is "SSU rRNA". It matches the Rfam family "Bacterial small subunit ribosomal RNA". The record is from RNAcentral.
CAGGCUUAACACAUGCAAGUCGAGGGGCAGCAUGGUCUUAGCUUGCUAAGGCCGAUGGCGACCGGCGCACGGGUGAGUAACACGUAUCCAACCUGCCGUCUACUCUUGGACAGCCUUCUGAAAGGAAGAUUAAUACAAGAUGGCAUCAUGAGUCCGCAUGUUCACAUGAUUAAAGGUAUUCCGGUAGACGAUGGGGAUGCGUUCCAUUAGAUAGUAGGCGGGGUAACGGCCCACCUAGUCUUCGAUGGAUAGGGGUUCUGAGAGGAAGGUCCCCCACAUUGGAACUGAGACACGGUCCAAACUCCUACGGGAGGCAGCAGUGAGGAAUAUUGGUCAAUGGGCGAGAGCCUGAACCAGCCAAGUAGCGUGAAGGAUGACUGCCCUAUGGGUUGUAAACUUCUUUUAUAAAGGAAUAAAGUCGGGUAUGGAUACCCGUUUGCAUGUACUUUAUGAAUAAGGAUCGGCUAACUCCGUGCCAGCAGCCGCGGUAAUACGGAGGAUCCGAGCGUUAUCCGGAUUUAUUGGGUUUAAAGGGAGCGUAGAUGGAUGUUUAAGUCAGUUGUGAAAGUUUGCGGCUCAACCGUAAAAUUGCAGUUGAUACUGGAUAUCUUGAGUGCAGUUGAGGCAGGCGGAAUUCGUGGUGUAGCGGUGAAAUGCUUAGAUAUCACGAAGAACUCCGAUUGCGAAGGCAGCCUGCUAAGCUGCAACUGACAUUGAGGCUCGAAAGUGUGGGUAUCAAACAGGAUUAGAUACCCUGGUAGUCCACACGGUAAACGAUGAAUACUCGCUGUUUGCGAUAUACAGCAAGCGGCCAAGCGAAAGCGUUAAGUAUUCCACCUGGGGAGUACGCCGGCAACGGUGAAACUCAAAGGAAUUGACGGGGGCCCGCACAAGCGGAGGAACAUGUGGUUUAAUUCGAUGAUACGCGAGGAACCUUACCCGGGCUUAAAUUGCAGAUGAAUUACGGUGAAAGCCGUAAGCCGCAAGGCAUCUGUGAAGGUGCUGCACGGUUGUCGUCAGCUCGUGCCGUGAGGUGUCGGCUUAAGUGCCAUAACGAGCGCAACCCUUGUUGUCAGUUACUAACAGGUUCCGCUGAGGACUCUGACAAGACUGCCAUCGUAAGAUGUGAGGAAGGUGGGGAUGACGUCAAAUCAGCACGGCCCUUACGUCCGGGGCUACACACGUGUUACAAUGGGGGGUACAGAGGGCCGCUACCACGCGAGUGGAUGCCAAUCCCCAAAACCUCUCUCAGUUCGGACUGGAGUCUGCAACCCGACUCCACGAAGCUGGAUUCGCUAGUAAUCGCGCAUCAGCCACGGCGCGGUGAAUACGUUCCCGGGCCUUGUACACACCGCCCGUCAAGCCAUGGGAGCCGGGGGUACCUGAAGUGCGUAACCGCGAGGAGCGCCCUAGGGUAAAACUGGUGACUGGGGCU